Molecule: ribosomal RNA, 439 nt
Filed under: uncultured bacterium
Lineage: Bacteria
Description: bacterial SSU rRNA
Rfam family: Bacterial small subunit ribosomal RNA
Source: RNAcentral
GAUGAGCGCUGGCGGCGUGCUUAACACAUGCAAGUCGAACGGGAAUUACUUUAUUGAAACUUCGGUCGAUUUAAUUUAAUUCUAGUGGCGGACGGGUGAGUAACGCGUGGGUAACCUGCCUUAUACAGGGGGAUAACAGUCAGAAAUGGCUGCUAAUACCGCAUAAGCGCACAGAGCUGCAUGGCUCAGUGUGAAAAACUCCGGUGGUAUAAGAUGGACCCGCGUUGGAUUAGCUUGUUGGUGGGGUAACGGCCCACCAAGGCGACGAUCCAUAGCCGGCCUGAGAGGGUGAACGGCCACAUUGGGACUGAGACACGGCCCAGACUCCUACGGGAGGCAGCAGUGGGGAAUAUUGCACAAUGGGGGAAACCCUGAUGCAGCGACGCCGCGUGAAGGGGGGAAGUAUCUCGGUAUGUAAACUUCUAUCAGCAGGGAAGAU